RNAcentral lists this ribosomal RNA (328 nucleotides) under uncultured eukaryote. RNAcentral's name for it is "partial 18S ribosomal RNA". It matches the Rfam family "Eukaryotic small subunit ribosomal RNA", at positions 1470 to 1796 of the family's 1831-position model. The record is from RNAcentral.
CCCUUAGAUGUCCGGGGCUGCACGCGCGCUACACUGAAGGAAUCAGCGUGCUAAAACCAUUGUCGAAAGGCAUUGGUAAACCCAUUAAAAUCCUACGUGAUUGGGAUCGGGAAUUGCAAUUAUUUCCCUUGAACGAGGAAUUCACAGUAAGUGUGGGUCAUAAGCUCGCGUUGAUUACGUCCCUGCCCUUUGUACACACCGCCCGUCGCUGCCCGGGACUGAGCCGUUUCGAGAAAAGCGGGGACUGCUGCUGUCGGGGCUUUCGGGCCUUGGCUUCGGUGGAAACCGCUUUAAUCGCAGUGGCUUGAACCGGGCAAAAGUCGUAACA